This 1032-nucleotide ribosomal RNA is filed under the name Pseudostanjehughesia aquitropica. Its description in RNAcentral is "SSU rRNA". It matches the Rfam family "Eukaryotic small subunit ribosomal RNA", at positions 64 to 1106 of the family's 1831-position model. Lineage: Eukaryota; Fungi; Ascomycota; Sordariomycetes. The record is from RNAcentral.
UAUAGCAUUAUACCGCGAAACUGCGAAUGGCUCAUUAAAUCAGUUAUCGUUUAUUUGAUAGUACCUUACUACAAGGAUAACCGUGGUAAUUCUAGAGCUAAUACUUGCUAAAAAUCCCGACUUCGGAAGGGAUGUAUUUAUUAGAUUAAAAACCAAUGCCCUUCGGGGCUCUUUGGUGAUUCAUAAUAACUUCUCGAAUCGCAUGGCCUUGCGCCGGCGAUGGUUCAUUCAAAUUUCUGCCCUAUCAACUUUCGACGGCUGGGUCUUGGCCAGCCGUGGUUACAACGGGUAACGGAGGGUUAGGGCUCGACCCCGGAGAAGGAGCCUGAGAAACGGCUACUACAUCCAAGGAAGGCAGCAGGCGCGCAAAUUACCCAAUCCCGAUUCGGGGAGGUAGUGACAAUAAAUACUGAUACAGGGCUCUUUUGGGUCUUGUAAUUGGAAUGAGUACAAUUUAAAUCCCUUAACGAGGAACAAUUGGAGGGCAAGUCUGGUGCCAGCAGCCGCGGUAAUUCCAGCUCCAAUAGCGUAUAUUAAAGUUGUUGCGGUUAAAAAGCUCGUAGUUGAACCUUGGGCCUGGUCGGCCGGUCUGCCUCACCGCAUGCACUGGUCCGGCCGGGUCUUUCACUCUGGGGAGCCUCAUGCCCUUCACUGGGCGUGCUGGGGAACCAGGACUUUUACUUUGAAAAAAUUAGAGUGUUCAAAGCAGGCCUAUGCUCGAAUAUAUUAGCAUGGAAUAAUAGAAUAGGACGUUGCGGUUCUAUUUUGUUGGUUUCUAGGACCGCCGUAAUGAUUAAUAGGGACAGUCGGGGGCAUCAGUAUUCAAUUGUCAGAGGUGAAAUUCUUGGAUUUAUUGAAGACUAACUACUGCGAAAGCAUUUGCCAAGGGAUGUUUUCAUUAAUCAGGAACGAAAGUUAGGGGAUCGAAGACGAUCAGAUACCGUCGUAGUCUUAACCAUAAACUAUGCCAACUAGGGAUCGGACGAUGUUAUUUUUUGACUCGUUCGGCACCUUACACGAAAGUACAAGUUU